Molecule: long non-coding RNA, 654 nt
Organism: Clupea harengus (Atlantic herring)
Lineage: Eukaryota; Metazoa; Chordata; Actinopteri; Clupeiformes; Clupeidae
Exons: 4
Source: RefSeq, a predicted model, not a curated record
AUGUUGCCGUGUAUUGUCGCUAGCUCCACAGAACUAACUAGUUCUAUCCGUCACACAGGCAAAUAUUAAUUACUGAUGAUGCCAUAAAGGUAACUCCAUGACAACCUAUUAUGACUGUUACAGUGGAAUGGAGGGAUUGCCUCCCAGGUUCUAGUUUGUGCUCAGUCUCUCUUAACAAGGUGAAGGAAAUGCCACGCUUGAAGAGAGCUCUGCGUCUCUUAUGCUGCAUUACGCUAGCAGAGGAUGAGGUAGUGGAUGCAGAUUAUUAUUAUGAAGUACGACAGGACACAUGGCACCGGGAUCCACUGGCCCAAUUAGAGAUGGAGAAUGAGGCACAGGAGCAGGAAAGAGCUCUGCUUCAGGAGGAACAGGAGAGGAAGAGAGAGGAGCAUAGGCAGGCCUGAUGAAGAUCAGACGCCAAAAGUUGAGGAGGGCAAUUGAGGCAGAAAAGGUCCGAAAGAAACUGGAUGCUAUGGUCCUCAAGUCUCAAGUCAGCAGUCCCAUAUUAUUGAUAAAUCAGACAGGCAAUGGGACAUCCACAAAUGUCAUCUCGAAGGGAUCCCUUGAUGAUAUCACCGCAAGGGUAAGAUUACUACCCUGCAUAAGGGAGAGGACUUUGGGCAGCUGGCCCUGAUGAAUAAAAUGCCCCAAGAC